Molecule: ribosomal RNA, 255 nt
Filed under: uncultured bacterium
Lineage: Bacteria
Description: partial 16S ribosomal RNA
Rfam family: Bacterial small subunit ribosomal RNA
Source: RNAcentral
UACGGGGGGGAGCAAGCGUUGUUCGGAUUUACUGGGCGUAAAGGGCGCGUAGGCGGUCGUGACAAGUCACUUGUGAAAUCUCUGGGCUCAACCCAGAACGGUCAAGUGAUACUGUCGUGCUAGAGUGCGGAAGGGGCAACUGGAAUUCUUGGUGUAGCGGUGAAAUGCGUAGAUAUCAGGAGGAACACCAAUGGCGAAGGCAGCACUCUGGGACGUGACUGACGCUGAGACGCGAAAGCGUGGGGAGCAAACAGG